RNAcentral lists this ribosomal RNA (301 nucleotides) under uncultured bacterium. Its description in RNAcentral is "partial 16S ribosomal RNA". It matches the Rfam family "Bacterial small subunit ribosomal RNA", at positions 509 to 807 of the family's 1533-position model. The record is from RNAcentral.
CAGCCGCCGCGGUAAAACGAAGGGUGCAAGCGUUAAUCGGAAUUACUGGGCGUAAAGCGUGCGUAGGCGGUGAGUUAAGUCUGCUGUGAAAUCCCCGGGCUCAACCUGGGAAUGGCAGUGGAUACUGGCUCGCUAGAGUGUGUCAGAGGAUGGUGGAAUUCCCGGUGUAGCGGUGAAAUGCGUAGAGAUCGGGAGGAACAUCAGUGGCGAAGGCGGCCAUCUGGGACAACACUGACGCUGAGGCACGAAAGCGUGGGGAGCAAACAGGAUUAGAUACCCGAGUAGUCCCUGUCUCUUAUAC